This 465-nucleotide ribosomal RNA is filed under the name uncultured Haemophilus sp. Its description in RNAcentral is "bacterial SSU rRNA". It matches the Rfam family "Bacterial small subunit ribosomal RNA", at positions 338 to 795 of the family's 1533-position model. The record is from RNAcentral. Lineage: Bacteria; Pseudomonadati; Pseudomonadota; Gammaproteobacteria; Pasteurellales; Pasteurellaceae.
CCUACGGGUGGCAGCAGUGGGGAAUAUUGCGCAAUGGGGGGAACCCUGACGCAGCCAUGCCGCGUGAAUGAAGAAGGCCUUAGGGUUGUAAAGUUCUUUCGGUAUUGAGGAAGGUUGAUGUGUUAAUAGCACAUCAAAUUGACGUUAAAUACAGAAGAAGCACCGGCUAACUCCGUGCCAGCAGCCGCGGUAAUACGGAGGGUGCGAGCGUUAAUCGGAAUAACUGGGCGUAAAGGGCACGCAGGCGGUUAUUUAAGUGAGGUGUGAAAGCCCUGGGCUUAACCUAGGAAUUGCAUUUCAGACUGGGUAACUAGAGUACUUUAGGGAGGGGUAGAAUUCCACGUGUAGCGGUGAAAUGCGUAGAGAUGUGGAGGAAUACCGAAGGCGAAGGCAGCCCCUUGGGAAUGUACUGACGCUCAUGUGCGAAAGCGUGGGGAGCAAACAGGAUUAGAUACCCUUGUAGUC